UUCAUACUAAAAAAAAAAAAAAAAAAAAGGGAGUGAUACAGUGACUAUUAGCGUGGCCCCUGUGCAAGGAUGACAUGCAAAUUUGUGAAGCAUUCCAUUUUUUA
Pipistrellus kuhlii (Kuhl's pipistrelle) is the source of this 104-nucleotide small nuclear RNA. The record is from RefSeq and is a predicted model, not a curated record. Lineage: Eukaryota; Metazoa; Chordata; Mammalia; Chiroptera; Vespertilionidae.